AAUAUUGGACAAUGGGCGAAAGCCUGAUCCAGCCAUGCCGCGUGUGUGAAGAAGUUCUUCGGAUUGUAAAGCACUUUAAGUUGGGAGGAAGGGUUGUAGGUUAAUACCCUGCAAUUUUGACGUUACCAACAGUAUAAGCACCGGCUAACUUCGUGCCAGCAGCCGCGUUAAUACGAAGGGUGCAAGCGUUAAUCGGAAUUCCUAGGCGUAAAGCAGGAGUAGGUGGUUAGUUAAGUUGGAAGUGAAAGCCCCAGGCUUAACCUGGGAAUUGCUUUCAAAACUGAAGAGCUAAAGGACGGUAGAGGGUAGUGGAAUUUCCUGUGGAGCGGUGAAAUGCGUAGAAAUAGGAAGGAACAUCAGUGGCGAAGGCGACUACCUGGACUGAUACUGACACUGAGGUGCGAAAGCGUGGGGAGCAAAAAGG
RNAcentral lists this ribosomal RNA (424 nucleotides) under uncultured bacterium. Its description in RNAcentral is "partial 16S ribosomal RNA". It matches the Rfam family "Bacterial small subunit ribosomal RNA", at positions 360 to 776 of the family's 1533-position model. The record is from RNAcentral.